UACGGAGGGUGCGAGCGUUGUCCGGAAUCACUGGGCGUAAAGGGCGCGUAGGCGGCAUGCCAAGCGUGUGGUGAAAGCCCGGGGCUCAACCCCGGGUCGGCCGUGCGGACUGGCGUGCUUGAGCACUGUAGGGGCGGGUGGAAUUCCGGGUGUAGCGGUGGAAUGCGUAGAGAUCCGGAAGAACACCGGUGGCGAAGGCGGCCUGCUGGGCAGUUGCUGACACUGAGGCGCGACAGCGUGGGGAGCAAACAGG
Molecule: ribosomal RNA, 253 nt
Filed under: uncultured bacterium
Lineage: Bacteria
Description: partial 16S ribosomal RNA
Rfam family: Bacterial small subunit ribosomal RNA
Source: RNAcentral